GGAUGUGAGGGUGAUCCGGCUUCGAGAUCUGUCACCCCAUUGAUCACCAGGGUUGAUUCAGCUGAUCUGGCUGGCUAGGCAGGUGUCCUCUUCCUCCCUCAAUGCUCCAUGUGUGUCCCUCCCAAAGCUGUGUGCUUGGCAAAGAGGAUGACCACCCCUGAUAGAAGAGGACCAUUCCUCGGUUAAGGGUAUAGGAGUAGCUGCACUCCCCUGCUAGAACCUCCAAACAAGCUCUUGAGAUAAAGAAGGUCACUAUACACUUGUGGGGGGAAAACUUCAAGAGGAAGAGAUAACAAUCAUAAACAUCUAUGCACCAAAUAUAGGUGCACCCACUUAUAU
RNAcentral lists this small nuclear RNA (339 nucleotides) under Chinchilla lanigera (long-tailed chinchilla). RNAcentral's name for it is "7SK RNA (ENSCLAG00000022170.1)". It matches the Rfam family "7SK RNA". Rfam says of the family: 7SK was discovered as an abundant small nuclear RNA in the mid-70s but a possible function has only recently been suggested. Two independent studies have found that 7SK RNA binds the CDK9/cyclin T complex (known as elongation factor P-TEFb). Lineage: Eukaryota; Metazoa; Chordata; Mammalia; Rodentia; Chinchillidae. The record is from Rfam by way of RNAcentral.